UAAUUUCUGGAAUAUUCGACAGACUCUAUAUUUUGAACCUACAUUACUAAAAUGGGAGUUCAAAAUUUAGAUGCAGAUAUGUACUUCCUUGUGAGACCUUUUGACGGCUUUGGGAUUGAUAGAAACAUCUGUGAGGGCACCCACCUAUCGGAGAGAUAGGUGUCAAAAUUAGGGUAACGGUAUUUUGGAUUUUAA
Non-coding RNA from Clostridium carboxidivorans P7, 195 nucleotides. It matches the Rfam family "6S / SsrS RNA". From Rfam's summary of the family: E. coli 6S RNA was the first non coding RNA to be sequenced, but its function was unknown until recently. NCBI's taxonomy places the organism in Bacteria, Bacillati, Bacillota, Clostridia, Eubacteriales, Clostridiaceae. The record is from Rfam.